RNAcentral lists this ribosomal RNA (253 nucleotides) under uncultured bacterium. Its description in RNAcentral is "partial 16S ribosomal RNA". It matches the Rfam family "Bacterial small subunit ribosomal RNA", at positions 524 to 776 of the family's 1533-position model. The record is from RNAcentral.
UACGGAGGGUGCAAGCAUUAAUCGGAAUUAUUGGGCGUAAAGGGCGCGUAGACGGACUUGUAAGUCGCAUGUGAAAUCUCUGGGCUCAACCUGGAGGCGGCAUGUGAAACUGCAAAUCUAGAGGAUAGGCGGAGAAAAUGGAAUUCCACAAGUAGCGGUGAAAUGCGUAGAUAUGUGGAAGAACACCAGUGGCGAAGGCGGUUUUCUAGCUUAGACCUGACGUUGAUGCGCGAAAGCAAGGGGAUCAAACAGG